This 1554-nucleotide ribosomal RNA is filed under the name Salmonella enterica. Its description in RNAcentral is "bacterial SSU rRNA". It matches the Rfam family "Bacterial small subunit ribosomal RNA". Lineage: Bacteria; Pseudomonadati; Pseudomonadota; Gammaproteobacteria; Enterobacterales; Enterobacteriaceae. The record is from RNAcentral. RNAcentral also lists the same sequence under 3 other names.
AAAUUGAAGAGUUUGAUCAUGGCUCAGAUUGAACGCUGGCGGCAGGCCUAACACAUGCAAGUCGAACGGUAACAGGAAGCAGCUUGCUGCUUUGCUGACGAGUGGCGGACGGGUGAGUAAUGUCUGGGAAACUGCCUGAUGGAGGGGGAUAACUACUGGAAACGGUGGCUAAUACCGCAUAAUGUCGCAAGACCAAAGAGGGGGACCUUCGGGCCUCUUGCCAUCAGAUGUGCCCAGAUGGGAUUAGCUUGUUGGUGAGGUAACGGCUCACCAAGGCGACGAUCCCUAGCUGGUCUGAGAGGAUGACCAGCCACACUGGAACUGAGACACGGUCCAGACUCCUACGGGAGGCAGCAGUGGGGAAUAUUGCACAAUGGGCGCAAGCCUGAUGCAGCCAUGCCGCGUGUAUGAAGAAGGCCUUCGGGUUGUAAAGUACUUUCAGCGGGGAGGAAGGUGUUGUGGUUAAUAACCGCAGCAAUUGACGUUACCCGCAGAAGAAGCACCGGCUAACUCCGUGCCAGCAGCCGCGGUAAUACGGAGGGUGCAAGCGUUAAUCGGAAUUACUGGGCGUAAAGCGCACGCAGGCGGUCUGUCAAGUCGGAUGUGAAAUCCCCGGGCUCAACCUGGGAACUGCAUUCGAAACUGGCAGGCUUGAGUCUUGUAGAGGGGGGUAGAAUUCCAGGUGUAGCGGUGAAAUGCGUAGAGAUCUGGAGGAAUACCGGUGGCGAAGGCGGCCCCCUGGACAAAGACUGACGCUCAGGUGCGAAAGCGUGGGGAGCAAACAGGAUUAGAUACCCUGGUAGUCCACGCCGUAAACGAUGUCUACUUGGAGGUUGUGCCCUUGAGGCGUGGCUUCCGGAGCUAACGCGUUAAGUAGACCGCCUGGGGAGUACGGCCGCAAGGUUAAAACUCAAAUGAAUUGACGGGGGCCCGCACAAGCGGUGGAGCAUGUGGUUUAAUUCGAUGCAACGCGAAGAACCUUACCUGGUCUUGACAUCCACGGAAGUUUUCAGAGAUGAGAAUGUGCCUUCGGGAACCGUGAGACAGGUGCUGCAUGGCUGUCGUCAGCUCGUGUUGUGAAAUGUUGGGUUAAGUCCCGCAACGAGCGCAACCCUUAUCCUUUGUUGCCAGCGGUCCGGCCGGGAACUCAAAGGAGACUGCCAGUGAUAAACUGGAGGAAGGUGGGGAUGACGUCAAGUCAUCAUGGCCCUUACGACCAGGGCUACACACGUGCUACAAUGGCGCAUACAAAGAGAAGCGACCUCGCGAGAGCAAGCGGACCUCAUAAAGUGCGUCGUAGUCCGGAUUGGAGUCUGCAACUCGACUCCAUGAAGUCGGAAUCGCUAGUAAUCGUGGAUCAGAAUGCCACGGUGAAUACGUUCCCGGGCCUUGUACACACCGCCCGUCACACCAUGGGAGUGGGUUGCAAAAGAAGUAGGUAGCUUAACCUUCGGGAGGGCGCUUACCACUUUGUGAUUCAUGACUGGGGUGAAGUCGUAACAAGGUAACCGUAGGGGAACCUGCGGUUGGAUCACCUCCUUACCUUAAAGAAGC